CACACUCGGCCUGAACUCCACCAAGGCAAAAACCACACUGAGAAGCUGGGUUUCUGGAGCCUUGUGCAUCCCCUGGGAUGCUCUCCGGCCUUAGCGAUUCUAGCACAGUCCAUGCAGGAUGGGGGGAUUCGCACAUCAGCCUCACUUCUGCUCGUUGUUUUGCCUCCAUUUUGAGCAAAGCAUUCAUCAGAACAUCAGUGAUAAAUCUUAUUCGAUUUGAAGUUAAGAGCAUCUUGACCAGCAGAAGGGAGAGUGACCCAAAGGUCAGAGAACUUCUCAAGUGAGUGGUUACAUAAAAGGAAGAAACAUCUAAGUGGUGGAGAGUUGGAGUCUCGGCAUGGAAAACCAGUGAAGCGAUUUCUCAAGAAACUUUUCUAAAGAAAGCAGGGAACCACCGCACAGGACAACAUCCUGGCCCCAUGUGCCCCAUGCUAUUCUCCAGCCCAACACGAAGUGGUGCCCGCCUCCCUUCCCCGGACACAGGAGGGAUUAGAAAAGCAAGUUUCUGUCCACUCCCAAGAAGUCAAUCGAGACAAUCCGGUUCUCCACUUCCUCUGGCCUCCGGGGAAGCAGCGACCCCUCCCCUCAGUGCACCCAGAGGUGCAGAGCAGCAAAAUGAUCAUUACAGGAGCAGCUGACUUUUCAAGUCCAUCUCUCCCCUUUGCUGGCCUGGUCUGCUGUGU
This is a long non-coding RNA of Fukomys damarensis (Damara mole-rat), 683 nucleotides long. RefSeq lists it as uncharacterized. NCBI's taxonomy places the organism in Eukaryota, Metazoa, Chordata, Mammalia, Rodentia, Bathyergidae. The transcript is spliced from 3 exons. The record is from RefSeq and is a predicted model, not a curated record.